UACGAAGGGGGCUAGCGUUGCUCGGAAUCACUGGGCGUAAAGCGCACGUAGGCGGACUCUUAAGUCAGGGGUGAAAUCCUGGAGCUCAACUCCAGAACUGCCUUUGAUACUGGGAGUCUUGAGUUCGGGAGAGGUGAGUGGAACUGCGAGUGUAGAGGUGAAAUUCGUAGAUAUUCGCAAGAACACCAGUGGCGAAGGCGGCUCACUGGCCCGAUACUGACGCUGAGGUUCGAAAGCGUGGGGAGCAAACAGG
This 253-nucleotide ribosomal RNA is filed under the name uncultured bacterium. RNAcentral's name for it is "partial 16S ribosomal RNA". It matches the Rfam family "Bacterial small subunit ribosomal RNA", at positions 524 to 776 of the family's 1533-position model. The record is from RNAcentral.